This 402-nucleotide ribosomal RNA is filed under the name uncultured prokaryote. RNAcentral describes it as "bacterial SSU rRNA". It matches the Rfam family "Bacterial small subunit ribosomal RNA", at positions 355 to 774 of the family's 1533-position model. The record is from RNAcentral.
UGGGGAAUAUUGCACAAUGGACGAAAGUCUGAUGCAGCAACGCCGCGUGGAGGAUGACACAUUUCGGUGCGUAAACUCCUUUUAUAUAGGAAGAUAAUGACGGUACUAUAUGAAUAAGCACCGGCUAACUCCGUGCCAGCAGCCGCGGUAAUACGGAGGGUGCACGCGUUACUCGGAAUCACUGGGCGUAAAGAGCGUGUAGGCGGAUAUAUAAGUCAGAAGUGAAAUCCAAUAGCUUAACUAUUGAACUGCUUUUGAAACUGUAUAUCUAGAAUGUGGGAGAGGUAGAUGGAAUUUCUGGUGUAGGGGUAAAAUCCGUAGAGAUCAGAAGGAAUACCGAUUGCGAAGGCGAUCUACUGGAACAUUAUUGACGCUGAGACGCGAAAGCGUGGGGAGCAAACA